UCCCGGGUAGCUCAAAUGGUAAAGAAUCUGCCUUCAAUGCAGGAGACCUGGGUUCGACCCCUGGGUCGGGAA
RNAcentral lists this transfer RNA (72 nucleotides) under Ovis aries (sheep). It matches the Rfam family "tRNA". From Rfam's summary of the family: Transfer RNA (tRNA) molecules are approximately 80 nucleotides in length. Their secondary structure includes four short double-helical elements and three loops (D, anti-codon, and T loops). The record is from Rfam by way of RNAcentral. Lineage: Eukaryota; Metazoa; Chordata; Mammalia; Artiodactyla; Bovidae.